This 470-nucleotide ribosomal RNA is filed under the name uncultured bacterium. RNAcentral describes it as "bacterial SSU rRNA". It matches the Rfam family "Bacterial small subunit ribosomal RNA", at positions 28 to 509 of the family's 1533-position model. The record is from RNAcentral.
GACGAACGCUGGCGGCGUGCCUAACACAUGCAAGUCGAGCGGAGGAUUCGAGAUGUUUACAUCGAAGGAUCCUUAGCGGCGGACGGGUGAGUAACACGUGGGUAACCUGCCUCAGAGUGGGGGAUAGCCUUUCGAAAGGAAGAUUAAUACCGCAUAAGAUUGUAGCGUCACAUGGCGCAGCAAGAAAAGGAGCAAUCCGCUUUGAGAUGGACCCGCGGCGCAUUAGCUAGUUGGUGAGGUAACGGCUCACCAAGGCCACGAUGCGUAGCCGACCUGAGAGGGUGAUCGGCCACAUUGGAACUGAGACACGGUCCAGACUCCUACGGGAGGCAGCAGUGGGGAAUAUUGCACAAUGGGCGAAAGCCUGAUGCAGCAACGCCGCGUGAGUGAUGAAGGCCUCGGUCGUAAGCUCUUUGAUCAGGGAUGAUAAUGACAGUACCUGAAAACAAGACCACGGCUAACUACGUGCC